Molecule: ribosomal RNA, 492 nt
Filed under: uncultured bacterium
Lineage: Bacteria
Description: partial 16S ribosomal RNA
Rfam family: Bacterial small subunit ribosomal RNA
Source: RNAcentral
AGUGAACGCUGGCGGUAGGCCUAACACAUGCAAGUCGAACGGCAGCACAGUAAGAGCUUGCUCUUACGGGUGGCGAGUGGCGGACGGGUGAGGAAUACAUCGGAAUCUACUUUUUCGUGGGGGAUAACGUAGGGAAACUUACGCUAAUACCGCAUACGACCUACGGGUGAAAGCAGGGGAUCUUCGGACCUUGCGCGAUUGAAUUAGCCGAUGUCGGAUUAGCUAGUUGGCGGGGUAAAGGCCCACCAAGGCGACGAUCCGUAGCUGGUCUGAGAGGAUGAUCAGCCACCCUGGAACUGAGACACGGUCCAGACUCCUACGGGAGGCAGCAGUGGGGAAUAUUGGACAAUGGGCGCAAGCCUGAUCCAGCCAUACCGCGUGGGUGAAGACGGCCUUCGGGUUGUAAAGCCCUUUUGUUGGGAAAGAAAAGCAGCAGGUUAAUACCCCGCUGUUCUGACGGUACCCAAAGAAUAAGCACCGGCUAACUUCGUG